This is a long non-coding RNA of Malurus melanocephalus (red-backed fairy wren), 2465 nucleotides long. RefSeq lists it as uncharacterized. The record is from RefSeq and is a predicted model, not a curated record. The transcript has 8 exons. Lineage: Eukaryota; Metazoa; Chordata; Aves; Passeriformes; Maluridae.
CGGGGGUGGUGGCACAGCGGAGUGCGGGAUGGGGACAGGGGACAGCCAUGGGGAGCAGAAGGUUCGUGCCGGUGCGGGGGAACGGACGCGCAGCGAUGUGAGGGGCGGUGCGAGGGGCCGGGACACCGCGCUGCCGGCGCUGCCGAGCCCCGCGUCAGCGCCUGCUCUGUUCCGAGGCAGCGUUUACACCGCGUACCGGGCUCUGACGGACUUGGCAGCAUGGAUCAUCCCGCCCCUCUGCUUUAUGGAACUGGGACUGGCAGGAAUGACACCAGGCAGCAGCAUGUUGUUACAGCUUCCGUCAUCUCCCGUGUGUGUGACGGCACCGGCCUCUCUCCGUGACUGCAGCCCUUGAGUGCGUGGGCCGGAGAAACAGUAAAACUUGACCAUCCUGCAUCAUCUUCAAAGUACUAAYGUACCCAGUCCAGACUCAGGAUGUGCUGCAGGAACCCUCCGGGUCUGACUGCUAGAGAUAAAGCAACYGGAUAAAUCUACUUGGAUGAUAAACAAUUCAAGUGGUUAAUCUGGGUUCAAAGUCUCUCUGCAGGUGAAAUGCCUCCUGUCCCUCAKGUGGCUCAGCAGAUUAGCCAGGAGGAAAGCCAGCAGCAAAAUUGACCAAAUUUGUCAAGUUUGUGUAAUUCCUUACAUGCUCCACACAGCAAGAAGCCAGCUCUGCCCCAGCAGGUACAACCAGCAGGCUGGGAUAAGAAGUAUGUGCUUGUGGUCCCAUCUCCAGUUCCCUCAUGACAACAGGAAAAUGAAAUUCUGCAGCGAAUAACUGCGCUGAGGAAAGAAGGUUUAUGGUCUCUGAAACAUCUGCCCAACUCCAUGAGGCCCCACGGCACAAAUCACGUCAUGAUUAUCUUUUGGAAGAAAUGCAGUGCAUGGCAACUGAUUUUGUUCAAGAAAGAAGAUGGAAGAUGAUAACUGGCAACAGAGUAAUGUGAAUUUGACAUUUUCAGCCAGGAAAGGGGGGAAGAAUAGGCAGCAUUUUCAAGCAUGCAGUCUGUCUCUCUUCAGUGUGAUUGGAAUGGAAAACCAAAUUAUUUGCUAUGAAGCACGAAUACUGCCAGGACUGAAGGUAGCUAGAAAGCUUAUUGAAGACAUCCACUGCUCUCUUUCAUCACCCAGACUUGAGCCAGGGAAGCUCAAAUCAAAUAGCUUUGUAUUUUGCAUAAGCUUUAUCUGAUCACAAUAGAUUCAGAAUUUAAAGGGUGUCCCAGAAGAAAAAAGACAACUAAAGGAACACCUGGACCAAAUAUACUCUUGGAAUGAGUGUCAUUGUUCCAGAAUCCCCCURUAUGGCAGAGUCCUGUUGGAAACUUGCUCUUGGAUCAGUGAAAGAAAUAUCUCUCAGCAUUGUUCUGGCAGGAUUAACAAGUGGCACUGGGUUGGCAAUUUGCAAAUUGCCUUUCAUAUUCCAGCAGUUCAGAGGUUCCAAAGGAUCCAUUGCAGGAACUCAUUCUGACAGUGAAGCAGCAACUGAUUGCYCUGAAGGAUGUUAUUGCAAGCAAAUCCUCCUGACACAUUUACCCAUGGAAUGAAGCUCUUGAAGAUCAGUCUYAAGGAACAGAUGCUUCCCUACUUCCACUCAAUGCAGCAGAUAGCAGGGCCUUGUUUUCUCCAGUUUCCAGAUCCCUGACUGGUGAUUCAGGCAAGCUGGGACCUCUGGCUACCCUGCUUUGGAAGCUGAAAGCAGAAGGGCAGUGAGUGCUGAKUUUGACACAGAUGAUCCUGGAGCUUUUGCUGAACUUCCAUUUCCUCACAUGAGUAUAAGAUUUAGGGAGAGUGGUGCUCACAGCUGGCAUUAUCUGGAAUUUAUAAAAAGCUUCAACCAGGACAAGUGAUUCUUCUAUGCCAUCYUUUCUUCCCAUGCUCUUUCCACAGGUGUCAGUCACACAGAUGUGAUUACUGUUAUCUUCUAUGGUACUGAUUGAGAUCUGCUGAUGGACACAAAGACUAAGGGAUGGGGUGACAAAAUUGCAAGAGGCAGAGAUGUCCACAUAUACAGRUGAAUUUCAUGCUAAGAAAUUGGUGUUAUAAAAUGAAAUAUAGAGAGAGAAUGGUUUGGGAUGAAACUAGGAUUUUUGGUUGAGGUCAUUCUUCUAGUUUAAGUUAACUUCAUCUUUUAAGACCCCUUCAAAGAUUAUAUCAUGCAUCUGAAAAAGAGUAUUUAACAUUUGAUUCAAGAACUGACUGCUCAGGGAGGGAAUUGUUCAACAGACCUUUUAUCUCAGGUACUGUAACAUUAAGAAUGUGAGCAGUUAUAUGAUGAUACAUAAAAAAUAAGUGUUUUAUUAGAUCCGAGUUAGAAUUUUGAGCAGGUAGUGGUAUAUCUAUUUCUASACUUGUUUGGGAACCAGUUAUAGGUGUUCACAGGUAAAUUCAGUAGAAGUCCUGAAUUGUCAGCACAUAUUGAAAAUCAGAAGGUAACAGUUUCAGUAAUAAAACUUCGCUUGUUUCAA